AUUGAACGCUGGCGGCAUGCCUUACACAUGCAAGUCGAACGGCAGCACGGGAGCAAUCCUGGUGGCGAGUGGCGAACGGGUGAGUAAUAUAUCGGAACGUGCCCAGUCGUGGGGGAUAACGUAGCGAAAGCUACGCUAAUACCGCAUACGAUCUAUGGAUGAAAGCGGGGGAUCGCAAGACCUCGCGCGAUUGGAGCGGCCGAUAUCAGAUUAGGUAGUUGGUGAGGUAAAGGCUCACCAAGCCGACGAUCUGUAGCUGGUCUGAGAGGACGACCAGCCACACUGGGACUGAGACACGGCCCAGACUCCUACGGGAGGCAGCAGUGGGGAAUUUUGGACAAUGGGCGCAAGCCUGAUCCAGCAAUGCCGCGUGCAGGAUGAAGGCCUUCGGGUUGUAACUGCUUUGUACGGAACGAAACGGUGAGCUCUAAUACAGUUGCUAAUGACGGUACCGUAAGAAUAAGCACCGGCUAACUACGUACG
Molecule: ribosomal RNA, 483 nt
Filed under: uncultured bacterium
Lineage: Bacteria
Description: bacterial SSU rRNA
Rfam family: Bacterial small subunit ribosomal RNA
Source: RNAcentral